CAGUCGCCGCGGGAAUACGUAGGUGGCAAGCGUUGUCCGGAAUUAUUGGGCGUAAAGGGCUCGCAGGCGGUUUCUUAAGUCUGAUGUGAAAGCCCCCGGCUCAACCGGGGAGGGUCAUUGGAAAUUGGGAAACUUGAGUGCAGAAGAGGAGAGUGGAAUUCCACGUGUAGCGGUGAAAUGCGUAGAGAUGUGGAGGAACACCAGUGGCGAAGGCGACUCUCUGGUCUGUAACUGACGCUGAGGAGCGAGAGCGUGGGGAGCGAACAGGAUUAGAUACCCCCGUAGUCCCUGUCUCUUAUAC
RNAcentral lists this ribosomal RNA (301 nucleotides) under uncultured bacterium. RNAcentral describes it as "partial 16S ribosomal RNA". It matches the Rfam family "Bacterial small subunit ribosomal RNA", at positions 509 to 807 of the family's 1533-position model. The record is from RNAcentral.